AGGCCUCACUGCUGAAUGACCCAGACUUUGCCCACAGCCUGUUGUGAAGGCUGACUUGCUUUCAGAAACAAGCCAUGCUGGAAGCUGAGCAUCCCAGAGGACUUCCCCAGGGAGCAGUUCAAUUUGCCCUGACUGCUGUAGGGGCUCACCAGAUGGAAAUCACAAGCAAUGGCCAUGAAAGCCCCACCACUGACUGAGGAAGGACAACUUAAGGCCACUUCUCUUCAACUUCCAUUCUCU
Molecule: long non-coding RNA, 240 nt
Filed under: Gallus gallus (chicken)
Lineage: Eukaryota; Metazoa; Chordata; Aves; Galliformes; Phasianidae
Source: RNAcentral